UACGAAGGGUGCAAGCGUUGUUCGGAUUUAUUGGGCGUAAAGCGCGUGCAGGCGGAUUUAUAAGUCAGGUGUGAAAUCUCGGGGCUCAACCUCGAAACUGCGCCUGAAACUGUUUAUCUUGAAUAUUGGAGAGGGGAAUGGAAUUUCGCAUGUAGGAGUAAAAUCCGUAGAGAUGCGAAGGAACACCAGAGGCGAAGGCGGUUCCCUGGCCAAUUAUUGACGCUGAGACGCGAAAGCGUGGGUAGCGAACAGG
RNAcentral lists this ribosomal RNA (253 nucleotides) under uncultured bacterium. RNAcentral's name for it is "partial 16S ribosomal RNA". It matches the Rfam family "Bacterial small subunit ribosomal RNA", at positions 524 to 776 of the family's 1533-position model. The record is from RNAcentral.